RNAcentral lists this unclassified non-coding RNA (543 nucleotides) under Melitaea cinxia (Glanville fritillary). Its description in RNAcentral is "misc RNA ENSMCXG00005005241.1". The record is from RNAcentral. Lineage: Eukaryota; Metazoa; Arthropoda; Insecta; Lepidoptera; Nymphalidae.
UAAGUAUCCCCAAAGUCAAGCGCGCGUAAAAAAGUUUUGCUUCAAAAAAAAGAUACAUAAAAAAAACUUUUAUUUUAUUAUAACGAUGAAUUUUUGUCUAAAAAAAUUUAAUAUUAAUGUACCUAUUGUUUUAUCACUAUAUAGAUAUUUGAACAUCACUAACUAUGGUUACAUAACAAGGCGAAAUGACUUAUCAUUAUUAUACAAACGCGUUCUAUUUGUUAAGGGACAUUUCAAUCUGAACUGUAAAGGUCAAAACAUCUUUAUUACAGGCUCAUAACAUUUUUGAAGAGGCAUCUACGUGCUUGAUUCAUUUUUUUUGUGUAAUUAGACAUGUUCUUAGUUUUAAUAUCGUAUUUUUGAUUGUAUUUCUAAAAUAUUUUCUAUACUAUGUCACUAACCAUAAGCAAAUUUUUUGCUCCGUGUUACUAACAAUUCUUGAUGAGUUUGAUUUCAGAUGGCGUUUUUGAUAGAUGUUGUGUUUAUAACAUGUUAUCUAUGUUUCACUAUUGAGAGCGAGAUAUGGUACGCGCGUAAUAUAAU